Molecule: RNA transcript, 685 nt
Organism: Populus trichocarpa (black cottonwood)
Lineage: Eukaryota; Viridiplantae; Streptophyta; Magnoliopsida; Malpighiales; Salicaceae
Exons: 2
Source: RefSeq, a predicted model, not a curated record
GUAAGAUAUAAUCACACUUGAAAUAUAGGGACUAAAGAAUAAUUUAUUCUACCUUCAUCAAAUCUCUCGAAUAUUUUUUUUUAUGGCACUGAAUAAUUCCAUUAUCAUAUUUCCAUCGGAAAUAGUAAGAAGAGAAGAAAAAUGGCUUCUUCCUUUUCUUCUCCCAAACUGAUUCAUGGGUUUCAUGGUCCAAAUAGUUGCAGUUGCAUACCUCAUUUUCACUCUAUCAAACUUGGCAGCAACCGCUCUCAAACCCCUCUCAGUUUCAGAAAUGCCGCAAGAUUGCAGUUAAGGACAAGGUUAUAUACUGUGUUUGCUUCAAACUCCAGCCCUUCUGAUGGAGAUUCCAGCGAAGAGAAAUCCGGCGGGACAAUAUCCAGCGAUGAUGCCCAAGGUCCUCCAUUCCUAACUAUUUUGGCAGGAUUCCUAGUUUUUUCCCUCUUAUGUUGGGUUUUUGGGUCUAUCAUCAUGUGGCUGUUUGGUCUAAUUGUUAAGGUGCCGCUUUCCAAGUAGAUCGAAUAUUGUACUGUUCAUUUUCGGAGUAGAAGCUUGACCUCUACUCAACAAGGACACAAGAAACCACGUAUGUCAGAUGUCUGGACAUGUAAAUGGAGAACUAGGUUGACCCAAAAAAGUUUGUACUUGUAACUGCAAGUCUGCAAUCACUCCACCUGGAUUCAAACAA